ACGGGUGAGUAACGCGUGGGUAACCUGCCCUGUACAGGGGGAGUAACAGUCAGAAAUGACUGCUAAUACCGCAUAAGACCACAGCACCGCAUGGUGCAGGGGGUAAAAACGUACCGGUGGUACAGGAUGGACCCGCGUCUGAUUAGCUGGUUGGUGAGGUAACGGCUCACCAAGGCGACGAUCAGUAGCCGGCUUGAGAGAGUGAACGGCCACAUUGGGACUGAGACACGGCCCAAACUCCUACGGGAGGCAGCAUG
Molecule: ribosomal RNA, 257 nt
Filed under: uncultured bacterium
Lineage: Bacteria
Description: partial 16S ribosomal RNA
Rfam family: Bacterial small subunit ribosomal RNA
Source: RNAcentral